CUACGGGUUGCUGCAGUGGGGAAUAUUGCACAAUGGAGGAAACUCUGAUGCAGCAACGCCGCGUGGAGGAUGACACUUUUCGGAGCGUAAACUCCUUUUAUAUAGGAAGAAGAUGACGGUACUAUAUGAAUAAGCGCCGGCUAACUCCGUGCCAGCAGCCGCGGUAAUACGGAGGGCGCAAGCGUUACUCGGAAUCACUGGGCGUAAAGAGCGUGUAGGCGGAUUAAAAAGUCAGAAGUGAAAUCCUAUAGCUUAACUAUAGAACUGCUUCUGAAACUCUUAAUCUAGAAUAUGGGAGAGGUAGAUGGAAUUUCUGGUGUAGGGGUAAAAUCCGUAGAGAUCAGAAGGAAUACCGAUUGCGAAGGCGAUCUACUAGAACAUUAUUGACGCUGAGACGCGAAAGCGUGGGGAGCAAACAGGAUUAGAUACCCGAGAGUC
Molecule: ribosomal RNA, 438 nt
Filed under: uncultured bacterium
Lineage: Bacteria
Description: partial 16S ribosomal RNA
Rfam family: Bacterial small subunit ribosomal RNA
Source: RNAcentral